Molecule: long non-coding RNA, 1566 nt
Organism: Onychostoma macrolepis
Lineage: Eukaryota; Metazoa; Chordata; Actinopteri; Cypriniformes; Cyprinidae
Exons: 2
Source: RefSeq, a predicted model, not a curated record
UUUAAGUUGGACCUUUUUUUGGUCAUUUUUCCUACGCAGCUAUCAAUUACUUACAGGUGUUUAACGGUGAUUGUUGAUUAAAUAAAAUAAAAAAUUAAAAAUAUUUCAUUAACAAUCUUACAGGUGUAAAAAUGUAGCCGGUGCUAAAAUUAAAAUCUAUAUGAAUGAUGACUUGUAUUGUGCUAGUUGAGCUUAAAUGCUGAUUAAAUACAAAGAAUGUAAAUGAUUUUCUUUUGUUAAACAUCCCAGGGUUUGUUCAUGUGUAAUAAAUGUCGAUUUAAAUUUAGUGAUAUUUUAGGAACUUCUUGUGUGUAUACAAAAAAUAGACCUAAUGGCAAAUUAAACUUUUAUAAAACCUUUUUCUUUUUCUUUUUUUUGCUGUAAGUUUGAAAGCUCUAUUGAUAAAACGUUUGUUGUGAAGAACCAGAUUGUCUAGGAUUGAGUUUAGCUGUUUUAAUGCAUACUAUUGUUGAAACAGUUGAGGCUACUGCAGAAGAGGUCAUUUACACCGAGCCGACAUUCAACAGAGCAAACACAGAGGAAUCGAAUGUUAAAGAGGAGAGUUAUGUGGAAUAUGCACCAAUAACGAUGAGGUGAUCAAACGUCAAUGUUUUUCUUUGUACGAGACCCAGAUUGUCAUCAUUUUUACCAGAAACCUCCUGAAACGAUUCAAUGGUUGAGUUUUGAGAUUGUGAAAAUCACCACAUGUUGCAUCCGGUCUCCUGAAACGUCAAAAGCCUUUACCUUGUAAUACAAGGACCUUUAAUGAAUGAUGUAACACGUAUUGGAGCAUUUUCAGUUUUUACUCUUAAAGUCAAAAGUGCAAAACAUAGAUGCAAACUAUUCAUCAAAAGGAAUGGAGACCCUGCUGUGGUAUCGAUUAUCUGCAACAAAAUGUGGUUUGAUCUGCUGGUAAACAAACAGGUUGUGCAUGAGAAUGUGCCUACCGCUGGACGUUUAUGUUUGAUGUCUGUUCGUGAGAGUAUCUGAGGUGUGAAAAGUGUUUCUGUGUCAAUCAUGUGUGGUUGAAGGGCCUUUUCACUGCAUACUCAGGCAGUGAUCCUGUAGUUAAGCAGAGCUAGUUUCAGUAGUUAUUUCCAGCUCAAGACUUCUUUCUAAGCAGAACUAUUCUUAUAAAGGUCAUAUCCCGUUUUCUUUUUUUGUUGCUUUUUUUCGACCAAUGUCUGGGACAUUUAAAGAAAAACAUGUAGCAUGAUUAUUUAUGACAAUUUAUGAUUUAUGUUUGAUGUAUUUGGUUUUCAUCAGUUUUGAGGAGAAACUAAACAAUGCUAACAAACUUGAUUCAAUUUUGACUACUUUUUUUUUAGCAUGGCAGGGCUCCUGUGUAAAAACUAAAUAUUAACCAGUUCCUAUGUUGUUUGUUAGUACAGUUAACAAGGAAUAAAAUGCAAAGAAUGAAAUAUUUAAAAAUGUGUUGAAUUGUUGUGAAACGUAAUUUUUUGAUAAAUCAUGAAUGGCCCACUUUACUGCAAAAUAAAUUUGCCUGGAGGGCAUGAGCUUGAAAUGUGUAUUGGUAUAUAUCUUGCAAUAAAUAUUAUAGCUGGA